GGAGAGGUGACCGAGAGGCCGAUGGUGUUCGCCUGCUAAGCGAAUGUGGGGGUUAUACUCCACCGAGAGUUCGAAUCUCUCCCUCUCCGCCA
This 92-nucleotide transfer RNA is filed under the name Desulfocapsa sp. RNAcentral's name for it is "tRNA-Ser". It matches the Rfam family "tRNA". From Rfam's summary of the family: Transfer RNA (tRNA) molecules are approximately 80 nucleotides in length. Their secondary structure includes four short double-helical elements and three loops (D, anti-codon, and T loops). Lineage: Bacteria; Pseudomonadati; Thermodesulfobacteriota; Desulfobulbia; Desulfobulbales; Desulfocapsaceae. The record is from RNAcentral.